CGUAGGGUGCAAGCGUUAAUCGGAAUUACUGGGCGUAAAGCGUGCGCAGGCGGUUAUAUAAGACAGAUGUGAAAUCCCCGGGCUCAACCUGGGAACUGCAUUUGUGACUGUAUAGCUAGAGUACGGUAGAGGGGGAUGGAAUUCCGCGUGUAGCAGUGAAAUGCGUAGAUAUGCGGAGGAACACCGAUGGCGAAGGCAAUCCCCUGGACCUGUACUGACGCGUCAUGCACGAAAGCGUGGGGAGCAAACAGGAUUAGAUACCCUGGUAGUCCACGCCCUAAACGAUGUCAACUGGUUGUUGGGUCUUCACUGACUCAGUAACGAAGCUAACGCGUGAAGUUGACCGCCUGGGGAGUACGGCCGCAAGGUUG
This 371-nucleotide ribosomal RNA is filed under the name uncultured organism. RNAcentral describes it as "bacterial SSU rRNA". It matches the Rfam family "Bacterial small subunit ribosomal RNA", at positions 526 to 896 of the family's 1533-position model. The record is from RNAcentral.